This 443-nucleotide ribosomal RNA is filed under the name uncultured bacterium. RNAcentral's name for it is "partial 16S ribosomal RNA". It matches the Rfam family "Bacterial small subunit ribosomal RNA", at positions 338 to 795 of the family's 1533-position model. The record is from RNAcentral.
CCUACGGGCGGCAGCAGUGGGGAAUAUUGGGCAAUGGGCGCAAGCCUGACCCAGCAACGCCGCGUGAAGGAAGAAGGCUUUCGGGUUGUAAACCUCUUUUAUUAGGGACGAAAGAACUGACGGUACCUCAUGAAUAAGCCACGGCGAACUACGUGCCAGCAGUCGCGGUAAUACGUCGGUGGCGAUAGUUAUCCGGAUUGACUGGGUGUAAAGGGCGUGUAGGCGGGACUGCAAGUCAGAUGUGAAAAUUAUGGGCUCAACCCAUAACCUGCAUUUGAAACUGGAGUUCUUGAGUGAUGGAGAGGCAGGCGGAAUGCCGUGUGUAGCGGUGAAAUGCGUAGAUAUACGGAGGAAUACCAGUGGCGAAGGCGGCCUGCUGGACAUUAACUGACGCUGAGGCGCGAAAGCGUGGGGAGCAAACAGGAUUAGAUACCCGGGUAGUC